AGCAGCCGCGGUAAUUCCAGCUCCAAUAGCGUAUAUUAAAGUUGUUGCAGUUAAAAAGCUCGUAGUUGAAUUUCGGGAUCAAAUUGUCGGUCGUGCCUCGGUACGCACUGGUAUUAUUGGUUCCUACCUUCUGAAGAACCGCGAUGUCAUUAAUUUGGUGUCGUGGGGAAUCAGGACUGUUACUUUGAAAAAAUUAGAGUGUUUAAAGCAGGCUUACGCUUGAAUACAUUAGCAUGGAAUAAUGAAAUAGGACGUUUGAUCCUAUUUUGUUGGUUUCUAGGAUUGACGUAAUGAUUAAUAGGGAUAGUUGGGGGCAUUAGUAUUCAAUUGUCAGAGGUGAAAUUCUUGGAUUUAUUGAAGACUAACUACUGCGAAAGCAUUUGCCAAGGAUGUUUUCAUUAAUCAAGAACGAAAGUUAGGGGAUCGAAGACGAUCAGAUACCGUCGUAGU
RNAcentral lists this ribosomal RNA (450 nucleotides) under uncultured Glomeromycotina. RNAcentral describes it as "SSU rRNA". It matches the Rfam family "Eukaryotic small subunit ribosomal RNA", at positions 569 to 1024 of the family's 1831-position model. Lineage: Eukaryota; Fungi; Glomeromycota. The record is from RNAcentral.